Stylophora pistillata is the source of this 1069-nucleotide long non-coding RNA. NCBI's taxonomy places the organism in Eukaryota, Metazoa, Cnidaria, Anthozoa, Scleractinia, Pocilloporidae. The record is from RefSeq and is a predicted model, not a curated record.
UUCAGAUUAGCAAACGAACGGACGCAAGCUACAUCAGAUAGGAAAUAAAGGUAGAGACCCUCGCGACAGGACAACUGCUUCUGAGAUGUCUCCUAGAAUAUUCCAGUGUCUAUUACUAGUGUCGCUGACCUACUUGGUUGCGGGGGAACUACGAGGACUGUUGCCAUAUUUCUUCAAACGUGAACCGCCGAAAAAUCUCAAGGAAAAAGUAUUUCAUUGGUCUUCAGUUUAUCAAGAUGACGCAUGGUGCUCUGAGGCUUGUGAUGCAAAAGUGUGUCGCAUGAUUGAGAAGAACGGAAAGUUUAACCUGUGGUUUAGUGACUGUGAUUGUGGACUCCAUUGUCACUGCCUGUACACUGGGUUAAUGCAUAAUGUAUACGUCUAUAAAUGUAUGCCAGCAUUCUGAUUCAUGCACUUUUACAGUGUAAAUGUUACUUGUUAUUCUGUCCAGCGUUUUACACGUUCUGUUGCUGUCUCUGUGUGGAAAAACACCUUAACUACAGCACAUGAACUGCACAAGAAAGAUGAAUUCUCUGUCCCUUCUCAAGAGUAGAGACUGAGAAGAGCCUUCGGUUGGUAUCAUUGUCAGUUAUCUUAGACUUCAACAGAAUAUGAUUGUCGUUUGUUCGUCAACUAAGUAUUUCUAAGUAGCAAACAAAAUUUAGCUGCGUAAGAAAUUUUUCAAUGCCUAAUUUCUGUUUUUUUUUUUUCCUUCUAAAUUUGAUUUCGCCUGAGCCUGUGAGCGCUCCUCCGCACGCGAGAAGCUUUGAAACGAGUCGGAGAGACGGUUUUACCAGGGAUCUGGCGCUAAUAAUGAGUGCUAGAGCCCUGACAGACUUAUAGCGGGCUCGUGUUACUCGAGGCCCCAUACUUUCCCGCGGGCGAAGAAGCGCUCGUGCCCAGGCGCGAAUAAAGAACGCCUACUAGGUAGCUACGUUUUCUCCAAAAAAUUUACAUAAGAAUAGGAUAUUUUGACGAAAAUCAACACAACGGUGUAUGGCUAAAGUUCAGUUUUAACUUUUGUAACUUGAUCUAGUUAGGAAAAUAAAGAUCUGGGGAUAUUUUGGGA